GGCUUUAUUAAUAAUCUAUGUUUUACAAAUUUGUUUAAUGUGACUUGAAUUUGAAUAUGCUGAAUGGAACUUGUCCUCAUGCCACUAGAUUGCCUAGAUCUCUAUGCCAGUGCCACUAGAUUACAAAUCAGAGUGAUUUUUUAAUUUCUCUUGGAAUUCAACCACCACCCUCUCUGGAAAAUCUCGCCAGAGUCGACCCCACUCUACAGAAUUGGAAACUUAAGUAGAAGAACUGAAUUUCUCUCGACUGCAUUUACCAGGAAGUAGAAUGGGCGAAGGUGGGGAGAUUUUUCCUAGUGAAAGAUGGGAAAAGAAUACCCAUAACUAGAAAAGAAGAACAAAGUAUUCUUGCCUAGCUUUUUUCAUCUUCCCAUCACCCCAAAGGUACUCUAGUAGUCCAUUGAACCUUCCUGGAAAAACAGCAGAAGGUGAUAUCAGUGCAACCUUCUUCUCUUCUGAAUUCUUCACCCCCAAUCCCACAGAGUGACUACGUGAGAUCAUUAAGGAAGAGUGAUCCAUUCCCUCACUGAUCUAUAGCUAUAGUAUUCUUAGUACUUAGUAAUAUGUUUUGAAGAAUGGUCAGUAAAAAAUAGGUCACCUCCAAAAUGAAUUCAGUAGAUAGCUCACAGCUGGGAGGAAAGGAUCAGUAAUCCUCAAAACAGAGGAAGAACUCCCCUUCACCGGCUUCAUCAACAAAUGGCAGACAUCCACACCCAACAUUGGUAAUCUGAGGAAAUUUCACUUCUCCCCCACUGAUCAGAAUUGGUACUUACGAAUAUGCAUCCUACUCCAAGCUACUUAUGUGUAAGUAAGCCCUCAAAGCGCGAUGCGCUGUGUGCAUCGUCUUUAAGUGGUUCCUAUCUGAAUCCGUUUAAAUUAUUAUAAAAUAAAACUCAGAAAUUCGCAUACAUCGCCUUUUGGCGAAUCAAUGCAAAUAAUCAAAUGUGUGAUGAAGGCUUCACUUGGGCCAAAGUGGAGGAGGUAGUUGGAGCAACAAAUGAUAGAGGUACCCGUACAGAGACCAUAUAUUGACAAGGUGACUUCAUCGGUGAAAGCGAGGGGGAGGGGAUAUUAAUGAUGUAGGUACCCCGUACCCAUACUAGAGACCUUAUCGUCGAGACUCGAGAUAAUAGGAUUUACCAUUGAAAGCGGUGCGACCAGAGGUGGUUAGCUAGAACUACCCAUUGCGUGAUUGACUGCAUACUUGUUUGUCGACCACCCUAUGGUUGGUUGACAAAUGUUACCCACUCUUGGACCAAGGCACUCCUUAACUUAAAGUUGUUAUUGUAAAAGACCAUUUUGCUCCUGUGAAUGUCUAUAUAUAGGAGUGACCCCCUCCCACACACACAUAAUGGGGGUUGGAUAUGUUGAGCACCUGCCGAAGGAGUAGAACGUUCUGCACCAGUUGACGAGUUUCAGGUCCUCAACCAUCGGGGUCGAUGUCAUUGGCGAGAAUCCACAUUCAAUAUGGGCCAGGGAGUAGUUAAGCUCGACUAUUCUCAAACUCAAGUUCUUGACUAUUAACCACUAGAUAGUUUAGUUUUUUGAGUUUAUGAACUUAUUUGCUUAGUUUUAUAUUUUGACAAUUAUGAAGUAUUACUGUAAGAGUUAUUUGUUCUUGGAGUUCUUUUGCUGACACCAUAAAUCAGCGGCUAUAGCGUUUUACCUAUUCUUUUUUUUUUUUGCAAUAUUCUACUUGUAAAUUUUUAUUUAAUUUUAGUUGGGUGGAUCCUUACCCAUGAUCCGGCUAAGGCAUAGCGCUAGGCGCUAUGCCCUGCCAGGCAGGCCACUAUAACGGUGCAAAAUUCUAUAUCUAUAGCGGCACUAUUUAAAAGUAUGGUUGACAUGCGGUGUAUUUUAAUGUUUAAACCUUAUUCUAAAAACAAACAGAACCACCUCGAACACCAAAUUUGUAAAACUUACUAAAAAGCAGAAGGAAGUUAAUGGAAGGGAAUUAAGAAGCAAAAGUAAAUUCUAAUGCUUAAGCUGUGUUUAUUCCACAUUGAUUUUAGCUUUGAUUUGUUGUUAAAUCGUGGAUCUGUAGAUCAGGAGUUCCUGAUGGACAACCUAGAUUUCUUCUAUCUUUCAUUCCCAAUUACCCGAUGUUGAACUUUAUGCUAACAAGUGUUAUAUAUAUUGCGGUAAGUCACCCUGUGUCCCUGUGAUAAAAAUAACAGACAUCUCAAAAUGAAAAUAAAAAUGUGAUUCAUGGUCUUUUUUUAUUUACCUUUUUUAGAUAUCACAUAGACUUUUUCAAGUGACAAAUACGUUGAAGUCUGCAUUCGUGCCGAGCCAAGAUGACAAACGACUGUUGCACAAUAUGAUUG
RNAcentral lists this long non-coding RNA (2327 nucleotides) under Zostera marina. RNAcentral's name for it is "long non-coding RNA (ZMAR_LNC002565)". Lineage: Eukaryota; Viridiplantae; Streptophyta; Magnoliopsida; Alismatales; Zosteraceae. The record is from RNAcentral.